RNAcentral lists this ribosomal RNA (117 nucleotides) under Pogona vitticeps (central bearded dragon). The record is from RNAcentral. Lineage: Eukaryota; Metazoa; Chordata; Lepidosauria; Squamata; Agamidae.
UACCAUCAUACCACCAUGAGCAUACCAAACCUAUCUGAUCUCAGAAGCUAAGCAGGGUCUGGGCUGGCUAUUGCUUAGAUGGGAGACCGUCAUGGUGCUUCAUAGCUCUCCAGGUAA